UACGUAGGGUGCGAGCGUUGUCCGGAAUUAUUGGGCGUAAAGAGCUUGUAGGCGGUUUGUCGCGUCUGCUGUGAAAAUCCGGGGCUCAACCCCGGACUUGCAGUGGGUACGGGCAGACUAGAGUGUGGUAGGGGAGACUGGAAUUCCUGGUGUAGCGGUGAAAUGCGCAGAUAUCAGGAGGAACACCUAUGGCGAAGGCAGGUCUCUGGGCCACUACUGACGCUGAGAAGCGAAAGCAUGGGGAGCGAACAGG
Molecule: ribosomal RNA, 253 nt
Filed under: uncultured bacterium
Lineage: Bacteria
Description: partial 16S ribosomal RNA
Rfam family: Bacterial small subunit ribosomal RNA
Source: RNAcentral